AAUUUUUGGUUAACAUUCAUCUAAAGUUUUGCAGCCUAAAAUACUCGUCCUGAAUAGUCAGCUAAUACAGUUAGGGUCUGUUCGGUUGUAGAAUUAGGUGGAAUGGAAUGGAACCGUUCCAUUCCUCGGAGCCAUUCUCGCGUUCGGUUCAGGGAUAGGAUGGAAUGGAACCGUUCCUCGAAAGGGAAUAUUCUGCCCAGAUGCGGAACGCACCCGUCCGGGCAAAUCGGCCGGACGAGGUCAACGCCGGCCAGGCACGCGGUGGCGGAGCAAGGCGGUGGAGGCCGGCCGGAGGCGAGUAGAGGUGGCCGCCGAGCGGAGCAAGGCGAGGCCGUGGCGGCCGGCCGGAGGCGAGGCGGUGGCUCGCUUGAGCAAGGCGGUGGCGGCCGCCGAGCGGAGCAACGCGGGGCCGUGGCGGCCGGAGGCGAGGCGGCGGCCGGCCGGAGCAACGCGAGACGGAGCACGCCGCCCUCGCCGCCCCAAUCUCGAGCACGGCGCGGCGGCCGGAGGCCGGCCACCUCGAGCACGGCCGGAGGCAGGCCAUCUCGAGCACGGACGCGGCUGUCGGGCGUGAUUUAGGAUUUUUUAGAUUAAUUUAGGCAAUGAUUAAUUAAAUUAGGCACUAAUUCGAUUCGAUUCCAUUCCACAUUUUUUGGGAUGAACCGAACAGGGGAAUGGAUUGGAAUGGGAUGAAGUGGAAUGGAAUGGUUCCAUUCCAUUCCACUUGAUCCGAAAAACGAACAGACCCUUAGUCAUGCAUGAUGGAAUUUUCUUUCACAAUUGUGGUGGAAGGGCAAAACCUUAGGUCUUAGAGUUCUGUGAAGUUUAAGAAACUUUCCUUCUUGGGAGUACUAGAUGGAGGUUAAAAAUAAUUGAGUUUGCUUCUGCUUUUCCUUGUAAUA
This is a non-coding RNA of Lolium perenne, 902 nucleotides long. NCBI's taxonomy places the organism in Eukaryota, Viridiplantae, Streptophyta, Magnoliopsida, Poales, Poaceae. The record is from RefSeq and is a predicted model, not a curated record.